Molecule: ribosomal RNA, 425 nt
Filed under: uncultured bacterium
Lineage: Bacteria
Description: bacterial SSU rRNA
Rfam family: Bacterial small subunit ribosomal RNA
Source: RNAcentral
GUGAGGAAUAUUGGUCAAUGGGCGAGAGCCUGAACCAGCCAAGUCGCGUGAGGGACGACGGCCCUACGGGUUGUAAACCUCUUUUGCCGGGGGACAAACGGCGGCACGCGUGCCGUCCUGAGGGUACCCGGAGAAAAAGCAUCGGCUAACUCCGUGCCAGCAGCCGCGGUAAUACGGAGGAUGCGAGCGUUAUCCGGAUUUAUUGGGUUUAAAGGGUGCGUAGGCGGGAUGCCAAGUCAGCGGUCAAAUACGGGGGCUCAACCUGCGUCCGCCGUUGAAACUGGCGUUCUUGAGUGGGCGAGAAGUACGCGGAAUGCGUGGUGUAGCGGUGAAAUGCAUAGAUAUCACGCAGAACCCCGAUUGCGAAGGCAGCGUACCGGCGCCCGACUGACGCUGAAGCACGAAAGCGUGGGUAUCGAACAGGA